CCUACGGGUGGCUGCAGUGAGGAAUAUUGGUCAAUGGGCGAGAGCCUGAACCAGCCAAGUCGCGUGAGGGAGUACUGCCCUAUGGGUUGUAAACCUCUUUUGUCGAGGAGCAAAAGCCGGACGUGGCCGGCUGUGAGAGGACCCGAAGAAAAAGCAACGGCUAACUCCGUGCCAGCAGCCGCGGUAAUACGGAGGAUGCGAGCGUUAUCCGGAUUUAUUGGGUUUAAAGGGUGCGCAGGCGGAUUUGUAAGUCAGCGGUCAAAUCGUGGGGCUCAACCCCCUCCAGCCGUUGAAACUGGGGAUCUAGAGUGUGCGAGAGGUCUGCGGAAUGCGUGGUGUAGCGGUGACAUGCAUCGCUCUCACGCAGAACCCCGAUUGCGAAGGCAGCAUACCGGUGCACAACUGCCGCUCAGGCACGAAAGCGUGGGUAUCGAACAGGAUUAGAUACCCCAGUAGUC
RNAcentral lists this ribosomal RNA (458 nucleotides) under uncultured bacterium. RNAcentral's name for it is "partial 16S ribosomal RNA". It matches the Rfam family "Bacterial small subunit ribosomal RNA", at positions 338 to 795 of the family's 1533-position model. The record is from RNAcentral.